RNAcentral lists this ribosomal RNA (499 nucleotides) under uncultured bacterium. Its description in RNAcentral is "partial 16S ribosomal RNA". It matches the Rfam family "Bacterial small subunit ribosomal RNA", at positions 30 to 523 of the family's 1533-position model. The record is from RNAcentral.
AUUGAACGCUGGCGGCAGGCUUAACACAUGCAAGUCGAGCGGGGGAAGGUAGCUUGCUACUGGACCUAGCGGCGGACGGGUGAGUAAUGCUUAGGAAUCUGCCUAUUAGUGGGGGACAACAUCUCGAAAGGGAUGCUAAUACCGCAUACGUCCUACGGGAGAAAGCAGGGGAUCUUCGGACCUUGCGCUAAUAGAUGAGCCUAAGUCGGAUUAGCUAGUUGGUGGGGUAAAGGCCUACCAAGGCGACGAUCUGUAGCGGGUCUGAGAGGAUGGUCCGCCACACUGGGACGGAGACACGGCCCAGACUCCUACGGGAGGCAGCAGUGGGGAAUAUUGGACAAUGGGGGACCCUGAUCCAGCCAUGCCGCGUGUGUGAAGAAGGCCUUAUGGUUGUAAAGCACUUUAAGCGAGGAGGAGGCUACUCUAGUUAAUACCUAGGGAUAGUGGACGUUACUCGCAGAAUAAGCACCGGCUAACUCUGUGCCAGCCGCCGCGGUAA